GAAUCCGGUUGAUCCUGCCGGACCUGACUGCUAUCGGAUUGAUACUAAGCCAUGCGAGUCAUUGUAGCAAUACAAGGCAGACGGCUCAGUAACGCGUAGUCAACCUACCCUAUGGACGGGAAUAACCUCGGGAAACUGAGUAUAAUGCCCGAUAGAACAUUAUGCCUGGAAUGGUUUAUGUUCCAAAUGAUUUAUCGCCGUAGGAUGGGACUGCGGCCUAUCAGUUUGUUGGUGAGGUAAUGGCCCACCAAGACUAUUACAGGUACGGGCUCUGAGAGGAGUAGCCCGGAGAUGGGUACUGAGACACGGACCCAGGCCCUAUGGGGCGCAGCAGGCGAGAAAACUUUGCAAUGUGCGAAAGCACGACAAGGUUAAUCCGAGUGGUUUCUGCUAAAGGAACCUUUUGUUAGUCCUAAAAACACUAACGAAUAAGGGGUGGGCAAGUUCUGGUGUCAGCCGCCGCGGUAAAACCAGCACCUCAAGUGGUCAGGAUGAUUAUUGGGCCUAAAGCAUCCGUAGCCUGCUCUGUAAGUUUUCGGUUAAAUCUGUAUGCUUAACAUACAGGCCGCCGGAAAUACUGCAGGGCUAGGGAGUGGGAGAGGUAGACGGUACUCGGGAGGAAGUGGUAAAAUGCUUUGAUCUUUCGAUGACCACCUGUGGCGAAGGCGGUCUGCCAGAACACGUC
RNAcentral lists this ribosomal RNA (685 nucleotides) under Marine Group I thaumarchaeote. RNAcentral's name for it is "bacterial SSU rRNA". It matches the Rfam family "Archaeal small subunit ribosomal RNA", at positions 1 to 691 of the family's 1478-position model. The record is from RNAcentral. Lineage: Archaea; Thermoproteati; Nitrososphaerota.